CAGUCGCCGCGGUAAAACGGAGGGUGCAAGCGUUAAUCGGAAUUACUGGGCGUAAAGCGCACGCAGGCGGUCUGACAAGUCAGAUGUGAAAUCCCCGGGCUUAACCUGGGAACUGCAUUUGAAACUGUCAGGCUGGAGUCUUGUAGAGGGGGGUGGAAUUCCAGGUGUAGCGGUGAAAUGCGUAGAGAUCUGGAGGAAUACCGGUGGCGAAGGCGGCCCCCUGGACAAAGACUGACGCUCAGGUGCGAAAGCGUGGGGAGCAAACAGGAUUAGAGACCCGUGUAGUCCCUGUCUCUUAUAC
RNAcentral lists this ribosomal RNA (301 nucleotides) under uncultured bacterium. RNAcentral describes it as "partial 16S ribosomal RNA". It matches the Rfam family "Bacterial small subunit ribosomal RNA", at positions 509 to 807 of the family's 1533-position model. The record is from RNAcentral.